RNAcentral lists this ribosomal RNA (401 nucleotides) under uncultured bacterium. Its description in RNAcentral is "partial 16S ribosomal RNA". It matches the Rfam family "Archaeal small subunit ribosomal RNA", at positions 473 to 873 of the family's 1478-position model. The record is from RNAcentral.
ACACCGGCCGCUCUAGUGGUAACAAUUUUUAUUGGGCCUAAAGCGUCCGUAGCCGGUUUAAUAAGUCUCUGGUGAAAUCCUGUAGCUUAACUGUGGGAAUUGCUGGAGAUACUAUUAGACUUGAGACCGGGAGAGGUUAGAGGUACUCCCAGGGUAGAGGUGAAGUUCUGUAAUCCUGGAAGGACCGCCUGUUGCGAAGGCGUCUAGCUGGAACGGUUCUGACGGUGAGGGACGAAAGUUAGGGGCGCGAACCGGAUGAGAUACCCGGGUAGUCCUAACUGUAAACGAUGCGGACUUGGUGUUGGGGUGGCUUUGAGCUGCUCCAGUGCCGAAGGGAAGCUGUUAAGUCCUCCGCCUGGGAAGUACGGUCGCAAGACUGAAACUCAAAGGAAUUGACGGGG